This is a long non-coding RNA of Ictalurus punctatus (channel catfish), 1269 nucleotides long. Lineage: Eukaryota; Metazoa; Chordata; Actinopteri; Siluriformes; Ictaluridae. The record is from Ensembl.
CAAACUGGAACCGUGCUCGUAAAGGCUAGUCUCGUGUUCCAGUCAAACAAAACCAACGCUGAUGAGAUCAAAGGGCUGUUUAUGAACGCGACCGCUGCCGAUAAGGAAAUAAACGGCCUUAAAGUCAACCCUAAUUUCACACAAGUUUCAGUGAAAUCUGAGGAGGCUCCGAAUGCUUUAGUGACUUACGAGCUCACCAUGGACAUCACCAACCGCAUCUACAACAGCUCUCUACUCAAGUCCAACUCUUCUGAUUAUGCGAUCUUGUACAAACAAGUUACUGACAUGCUCAACUCCAUCUACGGCUGUGCCACGUGUAAAACACACGUGUUUUAUGUCAAUGUGUCAGCGAUGACCUUCAGCAAUCAAACUGGAACUGUGCUCGUAAAGGCUAGUCUCGUGUUCCAGUCAAACAAAACCAACGCUGAUGAGAUCAAAGGGCUGUUUAUGAACGCGACCGCUGCCGAUAAGGAAAUAAACGGCCUUAAAGUCAACCCUAAUUUCACACAAGUUUCAGUGAAAUCUGAGGAGGCUCCGAAUGCUUUAGUGACUUACGAGCUCACCAUGGACAUCACCAACCGCAUCUACAACAGCUCUCUACUCAAGUCCAACUCUUCUGAUUAUGCGAUCUUGUACAAACAAGUUACUGACAUGCUCAACUCCAUCUACGGCUGUGCCACGUGUAAAACACACGUGUUUUAUGGCAAUGUGUCAGCGAUGACCUUCAGCAAUCAAACUGGAACCGUGCUCGUAAAGGCUAGUCUCGUGUUCCAGUCAAACAAAACCAACGCUGAUGAGAUCAAAGGGCUGUUUAUGAACGCGACCGCUGGCGAUAAGGAAAUAAACGGCCUUAAAGUCAACCCUAAUUUCACACAAGUCAUAGCACCACCGUCCACCCCUGCACCAACUGUCUCCAGCACUUCCCAUACAACCAAGUCUCCACUUCUUGCAACUACACACUACAACACCGCCUCGUCCUUUAAUCAAAGUCCCAUUGCUCUGACGUCAAUUCUCCGCUAUACUGUUUCGUUCUGCCUGCUUUACUUCCUCAGCUAUUCUUUUUAAUUGUGUAAACCUGCCACUAGGGGCAGUGCAACAUCUUUAUAUAAUGAAAUACGUUAAUCUACAGGGUGUACCAACAAUCUCCUUACAUAGUGGACUAUGUUCACCAGCAUCACGUCGGUUGUGUCUUUAUGAGUGGAUGUUGGUGAAUGUCCACUUCUCGGUCUGCAACACUUAUAUAUAUAUAUAUAUAUAUAUAUAUAUAUA